AAGUCGUAACAAGGUUUCCGUAGGUGAACCUGCGGAAGGAUCAUUAUCAGAUUCUGCCUGUCAGUUAUCUUAUCCCGUGUGAACUGUACCCUUAGACUUGGCGUCUGUGAUUGUUCUCUCACCUCUUUGAGGAGGGAGUUUAAUCUGUUCGCCUACUUUUUACCCUUUAAAAAUUGAUAACUGAGUAUACCCACAAGACUAGAAAACUUUUAGCAACGGAUCUCUAGGCUCUU
Molecule: unclassified non-coding RNA, 233 nt
Filed under: fungal sp.
Lineage: Eukaryota; Fungi
Description: partial internal transcribed spacer region
Rfam family: Eukaryotic small subunit ribosomal RNA (bases 1-46)
Source: RNAcentral